GAUGAACGCUGGCGGCGUGCCUAAUACAUGCAAGUCGAGCGAACGGACGAGAAGCUUGCUUCUCUGAUGUUAGCGGCGGACGGGUGAGUAACACGUGGAUAACCUACCUAUAAGACUGGGAUAACUUCGGGAAACCGGAGCUAAUACCGGAUAAUAUUUUGAACCGCAUGGUUCAAAAGUGAAAGACGGUCUUGCUGUCACUUAUAGAUGGAUCCGCGCUGCAUUAGCUAGUUGGUAAGGUAACGGCUUACCAAGGCAACGAUGCAUAGCCGACCUGAGAGGGUGAUCGGCCACACUGGAACUGAGACACGGUCCAGACUCCUACGGGAGGCAGCAGUAGGGAAUCUUCCGCAAUGGGCGAAAGCCUGACGGCGCAACGCCGCGUGAGUGAUGAAGGUCUUCGGAUCGUAAAACUCUGUUAUUAGGGAAGAACAUAUGUGUAAGUAACUGUGCACAUCUUGACGGUACCUAAUCAGAAAGCCACGGCUAACUACGUG
This 497-nucleotide ribosomal RNA is filed under the name uncultured bacterium. Its description in RNAcentral is "partial 16S ribosomal RNA". It matches the Rfam family "Bacterial small subunit ribosomal RNA", at positions 28 to 507 of the family's 1533-position model. The record is from RNAcentral.